UUUCCGUAGGUGAACCUGCGGAAGGAUCAUUAACACUUUUAAAAAUUUUUAUGAAGUAAAUUUAUUUACUUCAUAAAUACAACUUAUGCGAACUUGUUAAAGUCUUUUAAUAGUAUUUAAAAACUAUUGUAAUUUUUUUUUGGAAAUAUAAUUUAAAAAAUUCUUUUAAAAAACAAUACAACUUUCAACAACGGAUCUCUUGGCUCUC
This 208-nucleotide unclassified non-coding RNA is filed under the name plant metagenome. RNAcentral describes it as "partial contains small subunit ribosomal RNA, internal transcribed spacer 1, and 5.8S ribosomal RNA". The record is from RNAcentral.